UGGGGUAUAUUGGACAAUGGGCGAAAGCCUGAUCCAGCCAUGCCGCGUGUGUGAAGAAGGCCUUAUGGUUGUAAAGCACUUUAAGCGAGGAGGAGGGUACUGGUAUUAAUACUACCAGCUACUGGACGUUACUCGCAGAAUAAGCACCGGCUAACUCUGUGCCAGCAGCCGCGGUAAUACAGAGGGUGCGAGCGUUAAUCGGAUUUACUGGGCGUAAAGCGUGCGUAGGCGGCUAAUUGAGUCGGAUGUGAAAUCCCCGGGCUUAACUUGGGAAAUGCAUUGGAUACUGGUUAGCUAGAGUGUGGGAGAGGAUGGUAGAAUUCCAGGUGUAGCGGUGAAAUGCGUAGAGAGCUGGAGGAAUACCGAUGGCGAAGGCAGCCAUCUGGCCUAACACUGACGCUGAGGUACGAAAGCAUGGGGAGCAAACAAG
RNAcentral lists this ribosomal RNA (430 nucleotides) under Pseudomonadota bacterium. RNAcentral's name for it is "Proteobacteria bacterium partial 16S ribosomal RNA". It matches the Rfam family "Bacterial small subunit ribosomal RNA", at positions 355 to 776 of the family's 1533-position model. Lineage: Bacteria; Pseudomonadati; Pseudomonadota. The record is from RNAcentral.